AACGAACGCUGGCGGCAGGCCUAACACAUGCAAGUCGAGCGCCCCAGCAAUGGGGAGCGGCAGACGGGUGAGUAACGCGUGGGAACCUUCCCAAUGGUACGGAAUAGCCCAGGGAAACUUGGAGUAAUACCGUAUACGCCCGAAAGGGGAAAGAUUUAUCGCCAUUGGAUGGGCCCGCGUCUGAUUAGCUAGUUGGUGAGGUAACGGCUCACCAAGGCGACGAUCAGUAGCUGGUCUGAGAGGAUGAUCAGCCACACUGGGACUGAGACACGGCCCACGACUCCUACGGGAGGCAGCAGUGGGGAAGUCUUGCGCAAUGGGCGAAAGCCUGACGCAGCGACGCCGCGUGAGGGAUGACGGCCU
Molecule: ribosomal RNA, 363 nt
Filed under: uncultured bacterium
Lineage: Bacteria
Description: bacterial SSU rRNA
Rfam family: Bacterial small subunit ribosomal RNA
Source: RNAcentral